UAGCAGAGAUUGAGAGACAUAACAAUGGGAUGCUGGUCCCUGCCCUUGGGGCUUAAUUUUUCAGUACCAUUUAGUUUCUUCUUUUGUUACUAAAUGCCCUUCAGGGCCCAGAACACUGUGUCUUGCCCCAUUACACUGUGCAACGCAACUCUUGUUAAUUGCGAAACAACAGCGGAAACCCCCGAAAGUAGCCCAGAAUUUGCUCUGGUUCACCUAGACUGCCUCUCCCUGAUCGAUUGAGCAGGACUGGAAAGUGCAGAAAGAGUGGAUCAGGCCGGAAACAAAUGCAGAACAGAAGAUCUACUGAUGAAGCCUGACAAAGAGGAGGGAUAACGGGUAAGGAGAGAAGCGAGAUAUAGGCAAAGAAAAAGAAGUACAGAGGGAAAAGGAAACCAGACCAGUGAAAACCUCGAAAAAGAAAGCCUGACCAUUGAGAUGAGAAAGAGAACUGUGAGCCUAUCUACCUGGAUUAGACAUCCACAAGCUGGACAUAAACACUACCACUCCCUGGGAACUGGCUGGUGCGGACAGCCCUACACUGCGAGGAGGCAGCAGACGCUGGGCUGGCUGGGCGGAGCGCAGCCCCCAGAGACUCAGCACCGGAUCUAAAUCAUGGCUCUGCAUUCCACAGUCCUCUUUCCACUCACAAAUAACACUGGGCUGAUCCAUCAUCCGUCUAGUCUACAGACUCUACUGACUCUAAUGACUACUGAUUCCACAGACUUCACUGAUUCUACUGAUUACAUUGACUUUACUUAUUCUAUGCACUGACUUGAUUAUAUUGAUUCAAUUUAUUCUACAUACAGUAUUGUUUCUACUGAUCCUAUUGACUAAUUUCAAGUUGAAAGGCCCAUGCUGAGCUUCAAGAUGUGGGGAUAUGAAUGUAUGAUCAAGUAUGGCAUGGACUCUGUAGAUCUAUGUGACAUAUGUUAACUGGUCUAGAAAUAUCAAGGGGGGAAUGGGAUAAAACAACAAGAAGCAUAUCUGUGGAAUACAAAAAUGUAAAGUAUUUUUACAAUAUUGUUAUUUAUGCCCUGUCAGGGAUGUAUAUACCAGGUUUGCCAUAUGUCAUGUUAUGUAUGAUGAUGUGUGAUAUACAAGGAACACUUUUAUUUGCAGUUUUCCAACUUCAGAUGAAGAACAGUAAUUAAAUGUACGCUAAUGUUUGUGCAAUAAAAAUGUGACAAAACUUCCCUGAAAACCUUCUGGGAGUGGUUCUUCAAGAAAAUGUUUUUGUAUGGGAAAGAUUCCACAGGCAUGGUA
Esox lucius (northern pike) is the source of this 1263-nucleotide long non-coding RNA. RefSeq lists it as uncharacterized. The record is from RefSeq and is a predicted model, not a curated record. NCBI's taxonomy places the organism in Eukaryota, Metazoa, Chordata, Actinopteri, Esociformes, Esocidae. The transcript has 3 exons.